Molecule: ribosomal RNA, 405 nt
Filed under: uncultured bacterium
Lineage: Bacteria
Description: bacterial SSU rRNA
Rfam family: Bacterial small subunit ribosomal RNA
Source: RNAcentral
UCGAGAAUCUUUCACAAUGGGGGCAACCCUGACCGAGCGACGCCGCGUGCGGGAAGACGGCCUUCGGGUUGUAAACCGCUUUUCUGGGGGACGAGAGAACGGACGGUACCCCAGGAAGAAGCCUCGGCUAACUACGUGCCAGCAGCCGCGGUAAUACGUAGGAGGCGAGCGUUGUCCGGAGUUACUGGGCGUAAAGGGUGCGCAGGCGGCGGUUCGCGUGGAUAGAUGAAAUCUCCUGGCUUACCUGGGAGGAUGGUAUCCAGACGGGAUCGCUUGAGGGUCGGAGAGGGGCGUGGAAUUCCGGGUGGAGCGGUGAAAUGCGUAGAGAUCCGGAGGAACACCGACGGCGUAGGCAGCGCCCUGGACGACACCUGACGCUGAGGCACGAAAGCUGGGGGAGCGAAC